Molecule: ribosomal RNA, 119 nt
Organism: Bison bison bison
Lineage: Eukaryota; Metazoa; Chordata; Mammalia; Artiodactyla; Bovidae
Source: Ensembl
AUCUAUGGCCUUAUCAUCCUAAAUGCGACUCAUCUCAUCUGAUCUCAGAAGCUAAGCACAGUCGGGCUUGGUUAGGACUUGGAUGGGAGAUUGCCUGGGAAUACCAGGUGCCAUGAGCU